GUGCUUGCUUCAGUAGCACACACACUCUAUUAAAAUUGGAAGGAUUACAGACUAGCAUGGCCUCUGUGCAAGAAUGGCAUGUAAAUUUGUGAAGUGUUCCAUAUUAAA
Molecule: small nuclear RNA, 108 nt
Filed under: Castor canadensis (American beaver)
Lineage: Eukaryota; Metazoa; Chordata; Mammalia; Rodentia; Castoridae
Source: RNAcentral